This 481-nucleotide ribosomal RNA is filed under the name uncultured bacterium. RNAcentral's name for it is "bacterial SSU rRNA". It matches the Rfam family "Bacterial small subunit ribosomal RNA", at positions 15 to 518 of the family's 1533-position model. The record is from RNAcentral.
GAUCAUGGCUCAGGACGAACGCUGGCGGCGUGCUUAACACAUGCAAGUCGAACGGUUGUAGCAAUACAACAGUGGCGGACGGGUGAGUAACGCGUGAGCAACUACCCUAUACAACGGGAUAACACAGAGAAAUUUGUGCUAAUACGGUAUAAGACCACAAGGAAGGCAUCUUCCGGUGGUAAAAGAUUUUAUCGGUAUAGGAGGGGCUCGCGUCUCAUUAGAUAGUUGGUGAGGGUAACGGCCCACCAAGUCAACGAUGGGUAGCCGACCUGAGAGGGUGAACGGCCACACUGGAACUGAGAUACGGUCCAGACUCCUACGGGAGGCAGCAGUGGGGAAUAUUGGGCAAUGGAGGCAACUCUGACCCAGCAACGCCGUGUGAAUGAAGAAGGUCUUCGGAUUGUAAAGUUCUUUAAUUGGUGACGAAAGAAAUGACGGUAGCCAAAGAAUAAGCCACGACUAACUACGUGCCAGCCGCCGC